CAUUCACGGAGAGUUUGAUCCUGGCUCAGGACGAACGCUGGCGGCGUGCUUAACACAUGCAAGUCGAACGAUGAAGCCCUUCGGGGUGGAUUAGUGGCGAACGGGUGAGUAACACGUGGGCAAUCUGCCCUUCACUCUGGGACAAGCCCUGGAAACGGGGUCUAAUACCGGAUAAUACUUUCUCCCUCCUGGGAGAAGGUUGAAAGCUCCGGCGGUGAAGGAUGAGCCCGCGGCCUAUCAGCUAGUUGGUGGGGUAAUGGCCUACCAAGGCGACGACGGGUAGCCGGCCUGAGAGGGCGACCGGCCACACUGGGACUGAGACACGGCCCAGACUCCUACGGGAGGCAGCAGUGGGGAAUAUUGCACAAUGGGCGAAAGCCUGAUGCAGCGACGCCGCG
RNAcentral lists this ribosomal RNA (398 nucleotides) under Streptomyces sp. SID7909. Its description in RNAcentral is "bacterial SSU rRNA". It matches the Rfam family "Bacterial small subunit ribosomal RNA", at positions 1 to 401 of the family's 1533-position model. Lineage: Bacteria; Bacillati; Actinomycetota; Actinomycetes; Kitasatosporales; Streptomycetaceae. The record is from RNAcentral.